Oncorhynchus tshawytscha (Chinook salmon) is the source of this 9256-nucleotide long non-coding RNA. RefSeq lists it as uncharacterized. The transcript is spliced from 2 exons. The record is from RefSeq and is a predicted model, not a curated record. NCBI's taxonomy places the organism in Eukaryota, Metazoa, Chordata, Actinopteri, Salmoniformes, Salmonidae.
UUGUCUAAGGAGGGGGUCAGCCAAAGGACCAACUGAUGGAUUACAGACAUCAAUCACAUCACAGGAGACAAGUCUGUUUGAUCUUAGACAACCAUAUGAAGAGAAGGCGACCAGAACAGCUGGGCACCCUAAAGCUAAAGGAGAUGAAAGACACAUACAAAAGACACACAGAGUUAAUUACAGAGAUAAAGCAAGCUUAUAGCAUAGAGGAAUGUAUAGUAUUUUUAGUAUAGCUGAGCAUGCUAAAAACAGAAGAGACACAUAGUCUGCUGACCCUAGAUAACACACAAACAGGAGAACGCAUUAAGCUGAGUGAAGGGUCAAAGCAAGGGUCUUGUCACCAUUAGGAUCUAAUGGAAAGCAGAUGGGGGCGUUAUUGGGCUGAACAAGCAGGAAGCAUGGAUUGGGAUGUAACUUAAUUUGCAUAUGGGAGGGACUUAUAUGGUAGGUGUAUAACUCAGGGCGAGGGCUCUGAAAAAGGGUGUGUGUUUCGCGGACCGCUCCGGCUUAUGAUACUGUUGUAUUAAAAGUCUAUAUUGAUUUUCACAAAGUUCUUGGAUGUGUCAUUUUUGAACCGAUUUGCCACCACAGACUUGGCGAGCUUUGCCAGGAGAGUCAGGGACUGAAAAACGUUCUUGGCUGGCAGCGGGAUCUUUGGACGAUCUGGGCAAACAAGGGUGGCCACCCAGCUAAGGUAAGACAACAGUGAAAUGUUUGCGUAGAUCGCUUCAGAGAUCCUGCCUCAGCAAGAGGAGCGUCAAGUAGGUCUCUCUCUCUAAAAUUUCCUAAAAAUUAUAGAAACGAAAGAACUUUUUGAAAUUCAAUGAAUUUGCAUGCAUGUGUGUAAGCUUGGGAAUUGUAUAAUGAAUGUGCAUGCAUGUUUAGUGAGUGAGUAGGCGGGGGCUGUGAACGGUGUCAGGUGUGUUAUUCGGCAUGUUGGGCACAGGGCUGCAACUACCUGCUUAUAAGGUCUGAAUAAAUUAAGUAAUUAUAGAAAUCCUACGAUACCGCUUCAAAAUAUUUAGCUGAAGGACUGUAUGGGUAGGCUACUUUAUUGAUAAGUAGAUAGGGAAAUAUUCAUGGCUACCGCUUCAAGGAAAAGGUCUGUACGGAUGAGUAUUUAGUAAAUAAAUACACAUGGCUACCGCUUUAAAAUGAAGGACUGUACGGGUGAAUAUUUAAAACACAGAAAGAACGCUGGCCUGAUUGUGCGACGUUCAACUGAAAAAGGAAAUCCUGCGAAUACAAAACGCUCCGUCUAGCUAAACGGGGGUUUAUAAAUCAGUAGGUCGCGCCACGAUAUUGCUCUAACGUAGAAUAAAGAUCAAUACGGGGUGGAUGAAUAGGAUAUGAAGACAAGCUGAUCCGAUUAGACAGUAGUCUCGUCAUGUCGUAAAAAUCCUAUAGGAUAAUACCAGUUUAUGUAGAGGAAGUGUAUUAAGCUAGGGGAUAAACUAUAGGUCGUUUUUAGGUAAAAACGAAGGGAAUGCGUGAAAAAUCCUAUAGGAUAAUACCAGCUUAUGUUGAGGAAGUGAAUUAAGUUAGGUAAUAAACUAUUUCGUUUUUAGGUAAAAACGAAGGGAUUGAAUGAAUGCUAUAAUAUAAUUCUUUGUGAUGAAUGAGCAGAUUAGAAAGAAGAGGAAGAACAGGCUGUGUGUCUGUGACCAACUGGGAAUGCACGGGCCUCUCUGACAGUUAACUAAGUGUAAUUUGAGAAAGAGUGCGCAUUUAACUCUCAAUGCGAAGUAGGAAGAAAUAACUUAAAAAUAUACAGAUUAAAAUAUACUGGUUAAAAUAAAUCUAGGCGGUUAAGAAUAAAGUGAGAAAAGUGCAUGAAAAUAGAAGUCUAGAAUACAUAUUAAAAAUAUCACGAGCCCCGUAAACGAAAUAGGAGGCUGCAAUUUAAAAAUAGCCUCAGGAAUUAAACAGUAAAAUAGGCUAAGAGAGAAAAUAGCAAGCGGAUAAAUAGAGAGAUAAGAAAGUGCAUUACAUUAUAAAUAAGCUGUAUUAGAAGGAAAAUUAUAUGAAAUAGGAUUUAAUACACUGAAUAAAGUUAAAGUAAUAGUAUAAGCAAAGAUAAAAACACAGUGAUAUUUGAGGUGCUGUACUAGAAUAAGACAUGAAGGCUUCUGUAAAAUUCAGUAAUACAGUUGUAGACAUUAUAGAAUAGGUUUUACUAGGGGUAUUAAGUGAUGUGACUAAUAAAUUAUUAUUUGAGAAAGUAGGGUAGAUCUGCCUUGGGAAAUAGUAAAUAAAGUGUAUAAUGCGAUGGGAGUGUUUAGGGAAAAUAAAUAGUAUCAUGGAAACAAACGGAUUGUUUCUUCCUGGAAUAUAGGGAUAGCGAAAUGUAAUAAAGCCAUAGAGACGCUGAAAGACGCGAACGUUAAUUCUGCCAAUUCAAUUUGAAUAUGAAGGAGCAAACCAGAUAAUGUAGGGUAACAUUGCCCGGUAAACAGGAAUGAAUUGGAACAAUCACAUAAAACCAUAACAAAAAGUUUAACUUACCAGCGUUUUAAUGUUAAUUAACAUUCUAUCAUCAGAAAUGCAUUACGAUGGGGGAAGGGUGGGGGAAAAAUUUGUGUAAGAUGACACUGGAAUGCGGUAGCACCCUUUUCAAAAGAACAGCGGCUGAUCGUUCUAAGGUAAGUAUGAAUGGAGUUUUCUCCAAGCGGUGUAUAGUCUCUGAUUGAUCAAAAAGUGGUUCAUAGAGAGUACAGUUUAUAUGUGAUAAAAUACGUACUAGAUCACGUUUUACCUAACUUCUAGUAAGGUACCGAUGUAAUUUACAAAUAGCCUCACUUGGAGUCGUUUUGUAUUAAAAUGGCGGUUACAAUGGUGAUUGAAUGCGUGGAGGAAGUUGUUGUUAGCAGCGUCAAAAUACGGAGAAUAAACGUAUAUGAAGGAUUGCAGAACGUGGUGAAGGUGGUUGGAAGAAGAGCAAAUUGUAGUGUAUGGGUGUUUUCAGUUUCUAAGGGUAGGAUACAGAUGGCCGAGCAGGGAGGAAUUGUGCGUUCUGUGCAUGGCUGGAGCUUCUGUCGCAUGCUCGGGAAAAGUGAGGGAAUUUUAGUAUGUGUAAUACUAUUAUUGGCUUGAUGAUUUAAAGGGUAAUAUUGUGAAUGUUAACGACAUGUACAUUUCUUUUCCAGAAGAAAAGGGGUUACAUUUUCAAUGGUUUAUUCAAUUCAGUUUUAGACUGGGUAUGCAGAAGGAUGGAAGUGCUUUUGAAAGUGUGGUUAAGAUGUUUCUAAAGAAAAGAGAGUGAAAACAUUUGAAUGGUGUCAAAUGCCCUGAACCCUAAUAAUUUCCUGUGAAAACUGAUCAACUUCACUAGAAAUUGUUGGAACAGGUGGGAUUGAAUUAUAAAAUGAUUGAGCAACACCAUUCUAUAUUCAAAGUGUACCAUCACUUUGUAAUUCUAUUUUGUCCUUGGGGAAAAAGAUGAAGAGGUAAUCUUGAAUUGACUAGUUAUUCAAAUAGGUUUAUUUUUAUUAAACAUGGGUUCAUAGGAGAGAUUAUCAGUUCCCUGGGGUUAUGGUCUUUGGGUAAAUACAAAAUGUGCAUUGUUCAUUCUACAUAUAAAAUGGAAAUAUAUGUAAACAAGGGAUAACAGUUACUCCAAAUAGGUUAUUGGAGCGGGAGUUUCUGCAAGGGUUAUGUUGAUAACUACAUAAUCUGUAGCUCAUCUGAGAGAUUGCCAGUAGAAUAAGGGAGUUAUCAUGGAAAUGUAAUGUCAGAAUGCAUUAGUCUCUCCCAAGCAUUAUCAUCACACCAAGUGUGUGUGAAACUCAAACCCACCCUACUGGCUGAAUAGUGUGGGACAACUGUGUCUGAUGACCUGUGAACUGUCUCUGGAGUGCUAUGUACUGGGAGAAGAAAGACUAAAGGGGAUAAUGACCUUUUGUUACCAGGCUGCUCAUGACAGAAAAACAGAGGCAAAAGGGCGCAUGAUAAAAUAGAUGUUACUGGUACUAAAAGUUUUUAGUAUAAAGUUAAUAUUAAAGGGAUGAUGUAUUAUAUAGGUAAAAUUUGAGUUAAAGUAAACACUAAGGACUGUUAUCCUGAAUAUUGGAUUGGAUAAUUUAUAAACAACACUUAGUUAUGUUUUGAAUAUGGGAAAACUCUGUAAACUAAUCCUGAGACAGGUUGGUUGACAGAACUUGCAGAAUAUUAAAUUAAAGGUUUUUGUUUCUUUUAUUUUACAAUAUCAUUGUAAUUGGAGUGAUACAUUGGAAUGACAUAAGUAAUUGAAUAAAAAGUAUAGUCUGUUGUGUGAUAACACCCAAGGAUGAAGGAGACAUUACAAAUAGUGGUAAUUUAUUGCAAAUAUGCAGUUAUUAUAAUUUACUUUACUAUUUUUCUAGUUUGGUCAAUUUAUUUUUGUUUUGAGGAAAAUAAGAGUAUUUUUCUGAGAGGAGACUGAUAUAAAUUGACUGUGUUAUGGUAACAAAGGGGGGGUGUUAUUUCUAGAAACAAUGUAUAUUAAUAGACAAGAUAAUUCACAGAAAAGGAAGGACAGUUGGUCUUGUAAGGGUAUAGGGACAAUUCUAAAAAUAAAUAGAACAUUACACACACCUCGAUUAUGGUAAAAGUAAUAAGUAGGGGCAUUUUGAAGAAGCUUAGGACUUAGUUUUGUUAGGAUUGGAUAUUCUUUCAACUAGAAAACAUGCAAUUCUUACAGCAGUUGCUGUAGGGACCAUAAUUUGGCUAUCAUUAUGAAUAUUUUUGUGACAAGAGGCCAGGUAUUUGAGACAGACUGUUUACAUAACAGAAUGUUUACAUAGGGCCGUUAUUUAAGAAAGUCUGUUGUCAGGAAAUAACCCAAAGUGUUAGUAAUAUGUUCCCAGGAAAAGAGCACAUAAGACGCCAGAUGGAAGGGCAUGGGCUGAAUUCUGGAGACUGAGUGUACAUCAAGAUACACUGGGCUGGGGAUAUACUUCUUACAGUACCUGCAGUGUCUUUUGUUUAGGAAACCAGAUGGAGAAGGGUUCUCCAGCUUCAGCUGGAAUGUCAGUUUGUGUGAUGAGUGAUGGAAGUAAGAGAAUGUAUGGUGUAAUCGUAGAACAGAGGCCAUAAGUCUUUAAGUAUGAAUGCCCCACAGAAAGAAGGCAGAAACCUGAACCAGGACGAGAGGUUCCACAUCUGAUGAUCCAAGGAGACCAGAAGGACCUCUCCCAGUGAUACCAGGAGACGGUCGAGUGUUCGGAAGGAAGUGGGAUCAGCCGAGGAGGGAAGGACCCUACGAGGUGGCAACGGCCACAAACACGGCCGUCCAAGUGAAAGGAAGCAAGACGUGGUAUCAUCUAAACCACUGCACCCGAAUCCCGACGGAGAGAAGGACUCAAGAAAAUGGCAGACCAAAUACAAAGAGUGCAUCAGCUAACACACUCCGAAGAAGCACAAGGGGAAAAGAGCCUGAAAAGAAAAGAGACAAACGACCAAAGUUUCCUCCAGUAUGGCCAGAAAGCCCAGAAGUGGGAGGGGGUAACAUGUCUGCCACUCCUGAUGAUAUACCUGUUGGGGCAGGCCUCUUUGACAGAAGCCCUCUACAGAGGGGCUCCGAGUUAUUGCCUAAUGAAUGGGAACAUCUCUUCCCUGAAAUGGACACCUUCCAAAUGGAAGCCCAGUCCGGCCUGAGGAGGGAGCUUCAGGGGAGGAAAGAAGGAGAGACCCCACUAACGAGAAGGAAAAGUCGAGUGAGCUGAAGAAAAUGGCAAUUUCCCCAAAAAUUUACUUUUCAGCUCUUGAAUUGUCUCCAUAAUGAACAAUUGAAGUUAGAACAACAGAAGAACAAUGACAUAGACAUAACAGAAGUAACAGUGAACACUAGUAUAACAACAACAGACUCACGCACAAUCAAGAUGUAGGGUGGAAACAGGAAGAGAAGAGAGGGACCAGUCAAACAAUCUAAAAAGACUGACAAGGUUAGAAUCUUUGUUCCACCUCAACAUAUAACUGAAACAGGAAAACAGAAGACAAAAGGAUCAAACCCUUACCGGAGAUUGCAUUCGUGGAUGGACAUAUCAUCAAAAGAAGAGAGAAGUCAUUUGGGACUCAAAAGGAUGUGACCUGACGUUAACCAAAGAAGUGGACGAGUGGGUGCUCACCAUGAAUCAGAUUGAACCAGUUGAAGGUGAAAUAUUAAUAGUUGGAAAUAAUGAGAACAAGAUUGACUGAAGGGAGUAGUUCCUCACUCAUUCAGAAUUGGUCUUACGCCAAUACUUAAACAGGAAGAGCCUGUGGUAGCUAGAAAGCAUCAGAACCAGGAGGGUUCUUUGUUGACAUUUGGAGGGAAAAAAAUGUUCAAACUCUAAUGACCCACCUCAUGACAAGAACAUUGCCAAGAUGACAGAUAUAGAUGUAUCAGAUUCAGAAUCGUUCAAGGACACCACACAGGAAGAAGAGGUGAAAAAUGAAUGGUACAAAUGGGCUAGGUAUACAGCAAACAAGCACAGAAUGGACAAUUGUAUAUUGUGUAGUAAAUCACCUUUGUCGGAUCUCAUGAUAGUUCCUGAACCAGCAUCAUUUAAAGACUGUGCAAAUUGGAAAAAUUAUCAUUGUACCAACAGAAAGUAUUCUAUUCCCUUGUGUGACAUAGAAUGUAGGAUUGCCCAAGGGAGCACUAGAGGAAGGACUGUGUUGAACAACACUGGGUUGGGUGACAAGGAUUGUGCUGUCUAUAACAUUUGAACUGAAUGAAAUGGACCUUUGUUAGAUGGAAACACUGUGAUUAAAGGUAAAUGUGAAUGUUUUUACAGCCAUAACACCGAAGGUAUUUAUGUAGGAAACACCACUGUGGAAUGUGAUACUAUUUGGGUACUAGAGACUGCAGGAGUUGGUGAGGAAUAGAAAAGGGUUGUGUGGUAAAAUAACUCAGGUUGCGCCACCUCUUAUUAUGCUAAACAAUCAAGACAGGGGUAUUGCGGAUAGUUUCUGGAUGUGUGGAAAUAACAAACUGUUGAAUGUACUGCCAGAUGGGUGGACGGGUCUUUGUACCUUAGUUAGAGCAAUUCAACAGGUUACCAUUAUUGAAUCACCCCAUGAUGACUGUGUUAACUAUAGAGUUAAGAGGGCGUAUGAGAAAGACACUGAGGUAUACCUUGAUGUAAUUGGACAGCCUAGAGGGGUACCUCAGGAGUUCAAGGCAAGAGAUGAAGUUAAAUCUGUAUUUGAAUCUAUAUUUUUGUGGAUAACACCAAAUAAGAACUUAGAGUGGAUUAAUUAUAUAUACUAUAACCAACAGAGAUUCAUUAACUAUACUGACUCGGCUCUAACGGCGUUGGGGGAACAGGUACAGGAUACCAGUAAAAUGUCUUGGCAAAAUAGACAGGCUCUCAAUUGGCUUUUGGCAGAGAAGGGUGGAGUUUGUUAUGUUCGGGGAUGAUUGUUGCACCUUUAUUCCCAAUAACACUGCGCCUAAUGGAUUCUUUGCAAUCACUAUGGCUAAACUUAAAGGGUUAAGAGAAGAGGUUAAGGAAAAUGCUGGGGUGGACUCUCAUGUUUGGGAUUGGUUGGACUUAGCAUUGGGGAAAUGGGGAGCCAUGUUUGCUAGGAUGGCCUUUAUGCUGGGAGGGGGUUAUUGGCUCUGGGUAUUGUAUUUUGUUGUGUUUUACCCUGGGUGAAAUCACUUGUGAUCCAGACAACGAUUAAACAGAUGUUUGUAAGUAGAGCUGACACUCCGGUGAUAGUUGAUCCUGUGCCGGGUAGGCCAGGCCACUAUACUGAUGGAAAUGGACAGUUAUGCAAUGUGGUUGGUGGACCCCUUGACUGCUCUUUUGGUAAUCCAAACUGCCUGUAUGGAGUGGUCUCUGGAGGUGGUUACAACUUGCCAGGGUUUUCAUAAGGAUGGUUUACAUGUAUAUGCUGACAUUCCAAAUUCAUAGGACAGUCAACUGAUACAUAUCCACAAAAAGGGUAUUUUUCAUAGUAAAUACAGGGGUACUAUGUAUGGUUUUAAUAUUUAUAUUUUGCUUGUGGUCUUGUGUUUUAGUAUGUUUUGUUGAAUGUUUUUGAUAGGUAUAUCAAUGACUAUUUCUUUUAAUUAGAAGUUGGUUUUGCCUUCUAAAUAUUAGGUUAAUUUCAAAACAUGAAGGUAACAGUGGGAUAUCCCGGUUACAAGUGUCUAUGGACCAUGUCCUUAAUCUUUUAAGAGAGGUUGGUAUCCUGUUUGUUCGAGAGGUGUCUGAGAGGGAGGAUCGUGUUGAUAGCUUAAAUUUAAAAUGAUGUGUCACUUUUAUUUUGAAAUAUUUUUUCUUUUUCACAUAAACUAAGAUAGCCUUGCCUGAGGUUAUGUACUUAUGUGCUCAUGCUACAACAAAAUGUAAUGUAUUAUUUUUUGUUGUUUCUAUACAUAACUGGAUCUUUUACUCUUAUGAAAUACUAGAGAUGUUUGGUUCAGUUGGUAUUAUAUGUGUUACUCUGUUUUUAUGUUUUAUUGUCUAUCACAGGUAUUCUCAUUCACCGUCCUAGGGUUAUAUUUGAAUUAUUAUGGGGCUAUUUAGCCCCAGAGGGGGGUUAUGUGGGAGAAAUUGGUUAUGUGGGAGAGAUUAUAUUCAUGAUUAUAGUAACACAAGAGAGAUACACUUAUGGGUUCAUUUCCUGUUCUGGUAAAAUACAUUGUCUAUUGUAUAGGACAGGAAGCCAGAGUGGGGCCAUGGGAGAGGGCAACACAUAGACGCCUAGGGCAGCUGGACAUACAAAGGUCAGAGGUUGUCUAAGGAGGGGGUCAGCCAAAGGACCAACUGAUGGAUUACAGACAUCAAUCACAUCACAGGAGACAAGUCUGUUUGAUCUUAGACAACCAUAUGAAGAGAAGGCGACCAGAACAGCUGGGCACCCUAAAGCUAAAGGAGAUGAAAGACACAUACAAAAGACACACAGAGUUAAUUACAGAGAUAAAGCAAGCCUAUAGCAUAGAGAAAUGUAUAGUAUUUUUAGUAUAGCUGAGCAUGCUAAAAACAGAAGAGACACAUAGUCUGCUGACCCUAGAUAACACACAAACAGGAGAAUGCAUUAAGCUGAGUGAAGGGUCAAAGCAAGGGUCUUGUCACCAUUAGGAUCUAAUGGAAAGCAGAUGGGGGCGUUAUUGGGCUGAACAAGCAGGAAGCAUGGAUUGGGAUGUAACUUAAUUUGCAUAUGGGAGGGACUUAUAUGGUAGGUGUAUAACUCAGGGCGAGGGCUCUGAAAAAGGGUGUGUGUUUCGCGGACCGCUCCGGCUUAUGAUACUGUUGUAUUAAAAGUCUAUAUUGAUUUUCACAAA